This 468-nucleotide ribosomal RNA is filed under the name uncultured bacterium. RNAcentral describes it as "partial 16S ribosomal RNA". It matches the Rfam family "Bacterial small subunit ribosomal RNA", at positions 28 to 507 of the family's 1533-position model. The record is from RNAcentral.
GACGAACGCUGGCGGCGUGCUUAACACAUGCAAGUCGAACGGAAAGGCCCUGCUUUUGUGGGGUGCUCGAGUGGCGAACGGGUGAGUAACACGUGAGUAACCUGCCCUUGACUUUGGGAUAACUUCAGGAAACUGGGGCUAAUACCGGAUAGGAGCUCCUGCUGCAUGGUGGGGGUUGGAAAGUUUCGGCGGUUGGGGAUGGACUCGCGGCUUAUCAGCUUGUUGGUGGGGUAGUGGCUUACCAAGGCUUUGACGGGUAGCCGGCCUGAGAGGGUGACCGGCCACAUUGGGACUGAGAUACGGCCCAGACUCCUACGGGAGGCAGCAGUGGGGAAUAUUGCACAAUGGGCGGAAGCCUGACGCAGCAACGCCGCGUGCGGGAUGACGGCCUUCGGGUUGUAAACCGCUUUCGCCUGUGACGAAGCGUGAGUGACGGUAAUGGGUAAAGAAGCACCGGCUAACCACGUG